UACGUAGGGUGCGAGCGUUGUCCGGAAUUACUGGGCGUAAAGGGCUCGUAGGCGGCCAACUAAGUCGGACGUGAAAUCCCUCGGCUUAACCGGGGAACUGCGUCCGAUACUGGAUGGCUUGAGUUUGGGAGAGGGAUGCGGAAUUCCAGGUGUAGCGGUGAAAUGCGCAGAUAUCAGGAGGAACACCGGUGGCGAAGGCGGGUCUCUGGGCCGAAACUGACGCUGAGGAGCGAAAGCGUGGGGAGCAAACAGG
Molecule: ribosomal RNA, 253 nt
Filed under: uncultured bacterium
Lineage: Bacteria
Description: partial 16S ribosomal RNA
Rfam family: Bacterial small subunit ribosomal RNA
Source: RNAcentral